UACGUAGGGAGCGAGCGUUGUCCGGAAUUACUGGGUGUAAAGGGAGCGUAGGCGGGGAUGCAAGUUGGGUGUUAAAUCUACCGGCUCAACUGGUAGUCGCACUCAAAACUGCAGCUCUUGAGUGAAGUAGAGGCAGGCGGAAUUCCUAGUGUAGCGGUGAAAUGCGUAGAUAUUAGGAGGAACACCAGUGGCGAAGGCGGCCUGCUGGGCUUUUACUGACGCUGAGGCUCGAAAGUGUGGGGAGCAAACAGG
Molecule: ribosomal RNA, 252 nt
Filed under: uncultured bacterium
Lineage: Bacteria
Description: partial 16S ribosomal RNA
Rfam family: Bacterial small subunit ribosomal RNA
Source: RNAcentral